CCCCAGACUCCUACGGGAGGCAGCAGUGGGGGAUAUUGCACAAUGGGGGGAACCCUGAUGCAGCGACGCCGCGUGGGUGAAGAAGCGCCUCGGCGCGUAAAGCCCUGUCAGCAGGGAAGAAAAUGACGGUACCUGAAGAAGAAGCCCCGGCCAACUACGUGCCAGCAGCCGCGGUAAUACGUAGGGGGCAAGCGUUAUCCGGAUUUACUGGGUGUAAAGGGAGCGUAGACGGCGACGCAAGUCUGAAGUGAAAUGCCAGUGCUCAACACUGGAACUGCUUUGGAAACUGUGUGGCUAGAGUGCAGGAGAGGUAAGUGGAAUUCCUAGUGUAGCGGUGAAAUGCGUAGAUAUUAGGAGGAACACCAGUGGCGAAGGCGGCUUACUGGACUGUAACUGACGUUGAGGCUCGAAGGCGUGGGGAGCAAACAGGAUUAGAUACCCCAGUA
This 446-nucleotide ribosomal RNA is filed under the name uncultured bacterium. RNAcentral describes it as "bacterial SSU rRNA". It matches the Rfam family "Bacterial small subunit ribosomal RNA", at positions 329 to 792 of the family's 1533-position model. The record is from RNAcentral.